CCUACGGGAGGCAGCAGUGGGGAAUAUUGGACAAUGGGCGAAAGCCUGAUCCAGCCAUGCCGCGUGUGUGAAGAAGGCCUUCGGGUUGUAAAGCACUUUCAGUGGGGAAGAAAGCCUUGGGGCUAAUACCCUCGAGGAAGGACAUCACCCACAGAAGAAGCACCGGCUAACUCCGUGCCAGCAGCCGCGGUAAUACGGAGGGUGCGAGCGUUAAUCGGAAUUACUGGGCGUAAAGCGCGCGUAGGCGGUCUGAUAAGCCGGUUGUGAAAGCCCCGGGCUCAACCUGGGAACGGCAUCCGGAACUGUCAGGCUAGAGUGCAGGAGAGGAAGGUAGAAUUCCCGGUGUAGCGGUGAAAUGCGUAGAGAUCGGGAGGAAUACCAGUGGCGAAGGCGGCCUUCUGGACUGACACUGACGCUGAGGUGCGAAAGCGUGGGUAGCAAACAGGAUUAGAUAUCCCGGUAGUC
This 465-nucleotide ribosomal RNA is filed under the name Vreelandella stevensii. Its description in RNAcentral is "partial 16S ribosomal RNA". It matches the Rfam family "Bacterial small subunit ribosomal RNA", at positions 338 to 795 of the family's 1533-position model. The record is from RNAcentral. Lineage: Bacteria; Pseudomonadati; Pseudomonadota; Gammaproteobacteria; Oceanospirillales; Halomonadaceae.